Danio rerio (zebrafish) is the source of this 1511-nucleotide non-coding RNA. The record is from Ensembl. NCBI's taxonomy places the organism in Eukaryota, Metazoa, Chordata, Actinopteri, Cypriniformes, Danionidae.
CACAACACAAAACACUUAUGUGUUGUUGCAAUAUGCAAUCUUUAGUAUUUACCAAUGGUCUUUACUAACCAGGAAGCGUCACGCCUUCAUCCUGCGUACAUGAUUCAAUCCCACUUGGCAAACGAGAACGAGAACUUGCAUGCAGGAAAAUGCAAAGAUCAAUCAAAGAGCUGAGUGUUCGUUAUGACCCGAUCAACGAAACCAAUACUUUUACUAAUGGAGACAUAGUGGAGGGGCGAGUUGUUCUGGAAGUGACCAAAGAAAUAAACGUGGAGAAUUUGUUUGUGAAGCUGACGGGCGACGCGGACGUGCGCUGGACUGAAGGCUCAGGGGAUGACGAAAGAUCCUACAGCGACCAUGAGAGAUACUUUAAACAAAAGCAAUAUUUUAUCCAGGACAGCUCGAAGAAAGGACAAUGUGAAAAGAAUACCACACUUGUAAGUGGAGAAACUUAUGGAUCAGUGAUCAAACCAGGAAGUCAUGUCUUUCCAUUCAGAUUUCAGCUGCCUCAACAAAAUAUGCCUCCCGACUUUUAAAGGAUUUCAUGGUUGGGUGAAGUACAUUGUGAUGGUAAAGCUAAAAAGGUCUUGGAAGCCAACAUCAAGUGCACAAGCAGAAAUUAACUUUGCGCCCAGAAAUUUUGGGACCAAUGACCAUUUACUGCAACCACAAUCUGGUACAGAAGACAAGAAGAUGAAACUUUUUGGCUCAGGAAAAAUGUCAAUGACCGUAACAACGGACAAAACAGGCUACAUGCUAGGUGAAAUAAUAAGGGUUUCUGUUGAUAUUGACAACUCUUCAUCACGUGAUAUCAAGCUAAAGUACAGCCUUAAACAACUACAAACGUUCAUUGCUGGAAGAAGCACUACUCAUGCACACAAGGACAUAGUCAAAGAAACUAAAGACUGCAUCCCAUCUGGAGGAAAGACACGAUUUGUGGUGGACAUCAAGCUUCCGCAUGACAUUAUGGUCACCAUUGAAAACUGCAGAAUUAUAAAAGUGCAAUACGAACUCAAGGUCUAUCUGGAUGUUUCAUUUGCUUCAGAUCCGACAGUUAAAUUCCCGGUGGUCAUUAUUCCACCUUUACAGCAGUGUCCUCCCUGGCAUGAUCCACCUCCACCAUACAUGCCACCUCAGCCUAACCUAGUGCCCUAUCCUGGUGGAGCUGCUCCACCACCUGCAGGACUGUACCCUAAUCUGUAUGAUCCAGUGCCACCCUAUCCAGGAACCGCUGCUGGGACCUUUCCGAAUCCAAAUGCCAUGCUGCCUGGUUUCCAUCCGGCUCCAUCUGCUCCAGUUUAUGAUCUAAAUCAAAGCACUAAAGAAUCUUUUCCUAAUGCGCCUCAUUAGUUUCUUUCACCAGCCAAACUGACAGCCUCUUGUACUAUGCUAUAUUAAUAAUAUUGUCAGGGUUUUACCUCAAUGCACUCAAGCUUUAUGCCUGUUAUUGUGCCUUGAAAUUUGAGCACUUUUGCAUAUCAUAGGUAAUAUACAGUAGUCUUCAUUUGAAG